This is a long non-coding RNA of Neopsephotus bourkii (Bourke's parrot), 351 nucleotides long. RefSeq lists it as uncharacterized. The transcript has 3 exons. The record is from RefSeq and is a predicted model, not a curated record. Lineage: Eukaryota; Metazoa; Chordata; Aves; Psittaciformes; Psittacidae.
AGGGUGAAUCACUACUGAUGUGGAAUGAAACGGCAUUUGCAUUUCACACAGUGACUCAACCUCUGCUAAAAUAGCUGACAACACCUAGGACAAACCAGUAGACACAUGGGCACCAUCUACUACGCUGCACCACCUCCUUAUUGAUCUGUGUUGCACUGCGUGAAAUAGGCCAAGCUGUCAUCAAAGGCACCUGGCCUGACUCCAGCAAGAUGAUGAAUUGGUAGGGAAGCACCUUGAAGCAGCAGGAGAGCAGCAUGAAAACAGGAGAAAACACAAAGCACGAGACAGGCUGGAGGACUUGCGCUGUGGCCUUUGAGGCGUGUGCAGAGCAGGCUGCUGCACCAGUGUGCA